RNAcentral lists this ribosomal RNA (433 nucleotides) under uncultured bacterium. RNAcentral's name for it is "partial 16S ribosomal RNA". It matches the Rfam family "Bacterial small subunit ribosomal RNA", at positions 29 to 507 of the family's 1533-position model. The record is from RNAcentral.
AACGAACGCUGGCGGCAUGCCUAACACAUGCAAGUCGAACGAGACCUUCGGGUCUAGUGGCGCACGGGUGCGUAACGCGUGGGAACCUGCCCUUAGGUUCGGAAUAACUCCCCGAAAGGGGUGCUAAUACCGGAUAAUGUCUUCGGACCAAAGAUUUAUCGCCUUUGGAUGGGCCCGCGUUGGAUUAGCUAGUUGGUAGGGUAAAAGCCUACCAAGGCGACGAUCCAUAGCUGGUCGGAGAGGAUGGUCAGCCACACUGGGACUGAGACCCGGCCCAGACUCCUACGGGAGGAGGCAGUGGGGAAUAUUGGACAAUGGGCGAAAGCCUGAUCCAGCAAGGGCGCGUGAGUGAUGAAGGCCUUAGGGUUGUAAAGCUCUUUUACCCGGGAUGAUAAUGACAGUACCGGGAGAAUAAGCUCCGGCUAACUCCGUG